CCUACGGGAGGCAGCAGUGAGGAAUAUUGGUCAAUGGGCGCGAGCCUGAACCAGCCAAGUAGCGUGAAGGAUGACUGCCCUACGGGUUGUAAACUUCUUUUAUAAAGGAAUAAAGUGAGGCACGUGUGCCUUGUUGUGUGGACUUUAUGAAUAAGGAUCGGCUAACUCCGUGCCAGCAGCCGCGGUAAUACGGAGGAGCCGAGCGUUAGCCGGAUUUAGUGGGGUUAAAGGGAGCGUAGAUGGGUUGAUAAGUCAGUGGUGAAAGUUUGCGGCUCAACCGUAAAAUUGCAAUUGAUACUGGCAGGCUUGAGUACAGGUGAGGUAGGCGGAAUUCGUGGUGUAGCGGUGAAAUGCGUAGAUAUCACGAAGAACUCCGAUUGCGAAGGCAGCUUACUAAACUGCCACUGACAUUGAUGCUCGAAAGUGUGGGUAUCAAACAGGAUUAGAUACCCCAGUAGUC
This 460-nucleotide ribosomal RNA is filed under the name uncultured bacterium. RNAcentral describes it as "partial 16S ribosomal RNA". It matches the Rfam family "Bacterial small subunit ribosomal RNA", at positions 338 to 795 of the family's 1533-position model. The record is from RNAcentral.